AGUCGAGCGGAUGACGGGAGCUUGCUCCUUGAUUCAGCGGCGGACGGGUGAGUAAUGCCUAGGAAUCUGCCUGGUUGUGGGGGACAACGUUUCGAAAGGAACGCUAAUACCGCAUACGUCCUACUGGAGAAAGCAGGGGACCUUCGGGCCUUGCGCUAUCAGAUGAACCUAGGUCGGAUUAACUAGUUGGUGGGGUAAUGGCUCACCAAGGCGACGAUCCGUAACUGGUCUGAGAGGAUGAUCAGUCACACUGGAACUGAGACACGGUCCAGACUCCUACGGGAGGCAGCAGUGGGGAAUAUUGGACAAUGGGCGAAAGCCUGAUCCAGCCAUGCCGCGUGUGUGAAGAAGGUCUUCGGAUUGUAAAGCACUUUUUUUUGGGAGGAAAGGCAAUAAGUUAAUACCUUGCUGUUUUGACGUUACCGACAAAAUAAGCACCGGCUAACUCUGUGCCAGCAGCCGCGGUAAUACAGAGGGUGCAAGCGUUAAUCGGAAUUACUGUGCGUAAAGCGCGCGUAGGUGGUUCGUUAAGUUGGAUGUGAAAGCCCCGGGCUCACCCUGGGAACUGCAUCCAGAACUGGUGAGCUAAAGUACGGUAGAGGGUGCUGGAUAUUGCUGUGUAGCGGUGAAAUGCGUAUAUAUAUGAAGGAACACGAGUGUCGAAGGCGACCACCUGGACUGAUACUGACACUGAGGUGCAAAAGCGUGGGGAGCAAACAGGAUUAUAUACCCUGGUAGUCCA
RNAcentral lists this ribosomal RNA (742 nucleotides) under Pseudomonas monteilii. Its description in RNAcentral is "bacterial SSU rRNA". It matches the Rfam family "Bacterial small subunit ribosomal RNA", at positions 60 to 797 of the family's 1533-position model. The record is from RNAcentral. Lineage: Bacteria; Pseudomonadati; Pseudomonadota; Gammaproteobacteria; Pseudomonadales; Pseudomonadaceae.